UAAAAGCCAUCUGAUAUUUUACUGCAAGCAUGUGGCGGUGAAGAAGACAAUGACUGCUAGUAUGGUUUGUGCCACUGCCUUGAUUUCCGCUCAGGCACCAGCAGUCUUACCCACCAUUGCUUUGGUGCAGUUGGUGGAGAUAUCAACAGAUCAAAAGCACAAGUAAUAUGACUCAGCUCCCUAUGCCCACUAAAUACAAAUUUUCAGAACUGUGAUCACAGCCCUGGCCAAAUAGUGCUCCUGGUCAAACCUUUGUAGGUAAAAUGUUUUCUCCAGCUUUCUGCUAGCUCUUAGAAGCCAGUGUGAAGGAAAAGGGAUGUCAUGAAGCAUCACUCCAAGCUGAUCAUCUAUUCCAUUGUCUUGAGAAUUAUGUAGAAUAAAAUCACUGUCUCCCUGAGU
RNAcentral lists this long non-coding RNA (399 nucleotides) under Pongo abelii (Sumatran orangutan). RNAcentral describes it as "lincRNA". Lineage: Eukaryota; Metazoa; Chordata; Mammalia; Primates; Hominidae. The record is from RNAcentral.